AAUUUGGAUUUGAAACCAGCAGAAAGUCAUUGAGUGUCACUAUAAAUUUCCCCAUUUUGUGGUACACAAGCCCCUCCACAGCCUAGCCCACCCUUAUUUUUUGCUAUAAGCAUUCCUGAUCCCUAGGUUUCUGCCAGAAAGAGUGGACAGUCCCCUCUCUUUGCCUUUUCCCAUGGCCAUCCAUCCCAACUUAAAAAAAAUCUCCAAGCCAUUUGGUACUGCUGUUGCCUCCAUCUAGAAUUCUCUGGUCCAGGCGGUCAGAUCCUGUCCGUUCCCCAACACCCGGCUCGAACGCCACGCCCUCACGGGUUGGAGGAGAAUGGGGGAAGUCAGUCAGGAGCAAUCCCUUCUCAGAAAUCCUGCAGCUCUUCGCCUGAACUUAUUUUGGGACAAUAAUCUCUUCCUACCUGCUAUAUGAGUGAUCUUUGUUGUUAAGAGUUGUUUUUGCCCUUAAGAGUUACUUUUGUCCUCGUUUUAUGGAUGGGAUUCAUGUUCCUCCAGGUGAUCCUAAUACUGUUUCCAGCUGCCUGAAUAUUUUCCUCUUGCAAAUCUUUUGAACCGAAGACUCCACCUUUGUCUCCACUUCUUACCUCCCACCUUCAACUUCUUGUCUGCUCUGACAUCACGUGCUGUGAAUGCUGCGGAUGCUACACUCACUCUUCUCUGUGUUUGGUCUCCAAUGACCCGUGAUUGGACAUACACAGACUGAGCACUUCCAGGGAUAUUCUGCCAAUGUGGGAUAGGAGGAAAGCAGAGCUUUUUGCAACUGGACACAUCCCUGGGACACAGAGGAUGUCUUCAUGCACUGAGCGUGGUUCCUGUGUGAAGAACGUGACUCUGGACAAGACAGCUCUGCAGUUGAGACAGACCCUGAAGGAGCUGGAGGCUACCUGCUGACCACUCUUCCCAGCAGCUGAGAAGUGAGUCAUUUUUUGGAGUGGGAUCUUGGUGACAAACCUCCAUGUCUAUCAAAAAAAACAGUGAAAGGACUGACGAUCUUCAAAGCCAGGCAAGCAAGAAACCACUCUGCUCCCAACUGCAAAAAGCCUGUAAGACAAAUUAUUUCUAAAGCUGACAAUUCUGCCCUAACACAAGAUGGUUCCAUCACCUCGAGUUGGACUAAGGAGGAAAGAGAAAUCUUCUAGGAAAUACUUCAUGGUUUCAAGGAUUCUUGAGCAAGGAUUGCCAGAGAACAUUCCUAAAGAUGUGUAUAGGCAGUUCAGUCUUGCUCGCAUGACUUUCUCUAAGACACACCAGCCCCCAUGAUCCAACUGUUUCCCUUGUAAUGUUGGUUAAAAUCAGAGAUUCUCAUGCCAAGUCUGAAUGAGUUAAAUAAAGAUGCAUUUUUGUGAUGCUGUAUCUACUGGUCUUUAAUGGACUACUAACAAGUGGGAAUGAAAGUGGGUCACCCUGCCCUAGGAAGCUGGCCCUAGGGAGGCCUAGUAGCCACCUGGUUUAAU
Molecule: non-coding RNA, 1460 nt
Organism: Callithrix jacchus (white-tufted-ear marmoset)
Lineage: Eukaryota; Metazoa; Chordata; Mammalia; Primates; Cebidae
Source: RefSeq, a predicted model, not a curated record